This 1342-nucleotide ribosomal RNA is filed under the name uncultured bacterium. Its description in RNAcentral is "16S ribosomal RNA". It matches the Rfam family "Bacterial small subunit ribosomal RNA", at positions 28 to 1378 of the family's 1533-position model. The record is from RNAcentral.
GACGAACGCUUGCGGCGUGCUUAACACAUGCAAGUCGAACGGAAAGGCCCUGCUUUUGUGGGGUGCUCGAGUGGCGAACGGGUGAGUAACACGUGAGUAACCUGCCCUUGACUUUGGGAUAACUUCAGGAAACUGGGGCUAAUACCGGAUAGGAGCUCCUGCUGCAUGGUGGGGGUUGGAAAGUUUCGGCGGUUGGGGAUGGACUCGCGGCUUAUCAGCUUGUUGGUGGGGUAGUGGCUUACCAAGGCUUUGACGGGUAGCCGGCCUGAGAGGGUGACCGGCCACAUUGGGACUGAGAUACGGCCCAGACUCCUACGGGGGGCAGCAGUGGGGAAUAUUGCACAAUGGGCGGAAGCCUGAUGCAGCAACGCCGCGUGCGGGAUGACGGCCUUCGGGUUGUAAACCGCUUUCGCCUGUGACGAAGCGUGAGUGACGGUAAUGGGUAAAGAAGCACCGGCUAACUACGUGCCAGCAGCCGCGGUGAUACGUAGGGUGCGAGCGUUGUCCGGAUUUAUUGGGCGUAAGGGCUCGUAGGUGGUUGAUCGCGUCGAAAGUGUAAUCUUGGGGCUUAACCCUGAGCGUGCUUUCGAUACGGGUUGACUUGAGGAAGGUAGGGGAGAAUGGAAUUCCUGGUGGAGCGGUGGAAUGCGCAGAUAUCAGGAGGAACACCAGUGGCGAAGGCGGUUCUCUGGGCCUUUCCUGACGCUGAGGAGCGAAAGCGUGGGGAGCGAACAGGCUUAGAUACCCUGGUAGUCCACGCUGUAAACGGUGGGUACUAGGUGUGGGGUCCAUUCCACGGGUUCCGUGCCGUAGCUAACGCUUUAAGUACCCCGCCUGGGGAGUACGGCCGCAAGGCUAAAACUCAAAGGAAUUGACGGGGCCCCGCACAAGCGGCGGAGCAUGCGGAUUAAUUCGAUGCAACGCGUAGAACCUUACCUGGGUUUGACAUGGAUCGGGAGUGCUCAGAGAUGGGUGUGCCUCUUUUGGGGUCGGUUCACAGGUGGUGCAUGCCUGUCGUCAGCUCGUGUCGUGAGAUGUUGGGUUAAGUCCCGCAACGAGCGCAACCCUUGUUCACUGUUGCCAGCACGUUAUGGUGGGGACUCAGUGGAGACCGCCGGGGUCAACUCGGAGGAAGGUGGGGAUGACGUCAAGUCCUCAUGCCCCUUAUGUCCAGGGCUUCACGCAUGCUACAAUGGCUGGUACAGAGAGUGGCGAGCCUGUGAGGGUGAGCGAAUCUCGGAAAGCCGGUCUCAGUUCGGAUUGGGGUCUGCAACUCGACCUCAUGAAGUCGGAGUCGCUAGUAAUCGCAGAUCAGCAACGCUGCGGUGAAUACGUUCCCGGG